This 1300-nucleotide long non-coding RNA is filed under the name Agrilus planipennis (emerald ash borer). RNAcentral's name for it is "uncharacterized LOC112906366, transcript variant X2". Lineage: Eukaryota; Metazoa; Arthropoda; Insecta; Coleoptera; Buprestidae. The record is from RNAcentral.
ACGGAUCAAGUCCUAAUAAUACAUAAAAUUUUGUAAUUAUUUAUCUUGUAUUUUUAAUCAUGUUUUUACGUAUAACUUCUUUAAUUCAUUCUCAAUUCGACUGGAUUAUUUUUUAUGUGUACCUAUGUAUCGCUAUUUCUUUGCAGACUGUGAACGAUAUUGAUGAUUUAUAUUCCAGAAUAUCCGUAAUUCAAAUUAGAAGCAUUCUUCUCUAAUGCUCUCUUUUUAAGUUUCCACUGUCUCUCUCGCUUAAACCGUCGCAGAAAUUAAAUUUGAUACUUCUGAUUGGCGUUUGCCUACGUCAUCAGUGCUUCAUGCGCAUGAAACGCCUUCAUAGUUGUUCGUAGCGGUGGGUUGUCUUCGUUGUCUUGUUCGCAUCAUUGAAAUUCAACUUGCCGAGCUAAUUUUUUCCACGUGUAAUACUCUGAAAGACUAUUGAGAUUAAUUCAUCCUAUAUAUUAUUAUUUUUUGCAAUUAUCCACACAGUAAAUUAAAUUUUCCGCGUAAUAGAUAUUUCUGUAAAUUUUAUGCAAGUAUAAGAGAAGACACGCCUCAUCGCGAUUUUAAAAGUUUAAGAUAAACGAGUAAGGAAAUUUAAAUUUAUUUUGAUGCUACCGAAAAAGCAAGUCAUCUCCUAUGGUGUUUUAUCUGUUAUCAUCUUGGUGACUUGUAGUUAAUUAAGAGGAACGUUGGAAGAGCUCCAGAUUCUGUUAAAUUAUGAAGCAUUGGUUGUCUCAGUGGUCAAUCGCUCCAGAAAGUAGCUGUACCUAUGGCCAUAAAAAAAAGCAUGAAGACGCCAUUUUUCCAAUCGGAACGGAAUUUGUGCUGUUGCUGAAGAAGGAUUUAUGACAAUGAACUGAUUGUCCUACCAAAUUAAAAGGAAUUGGUGCUACUGAAACAACGGAUGCUUUUGAUGUCUUCACCUUGCAACAUUAUGCAGUUAAUUUUGACCCUGAGAAUGGGAGGUAAUUGGAAAUUAAUUUGGAAGCCACUGAAACAACAGAUUGUUCUCAGUGGUAUCUCUCCUAAAUUUGGUUUAUUCAUCAUAUUGGUAGACUUUAGAACGCUACUUCCUACAGUUAGUUAAGAUCCUUCAACAAAUAAGAGGGAAUUAAAGUUUAGUUUGGUCAUACUGAAACAACCAUUGUCUACAUGGGUGUGGUCUUUUGGUGAAGGAAGUAUAUUCUUGAUGAUUUGCUGUUAUCGUCUUCGCAUUGCAUCAUUAUGCAGUUAGUUUUGAAUUGAUGAGUGAGAGCAACUGGAUAUUUAUUUGAAUUCCACUGAAAUAACAAAUUUUCUG